This is a long non-coding RNA of Struthio camelus australis, 583 nucleotides long. Lineage: Eukaryota; Metazoa; Chordata; Aves; Struthioniformes; Struthionidae. The record is from Ensembl.
CACGGCUAAACCAGCCUGAAAGUCGGGGCGAGGAUGUUGGACACAAAGGACAAAUCGGGGCGAAAAUUUCCACCCGGAACGAGACGGAAACUGCCUCGUUCGGGCUGAUUUUGAGGAAACGCCCUGGAAAAACAGGCAGAGGCCGCCGGUCUCGGCCAGGAGGACGCGUCAGGCGCCCUGUGAAGUGCUUGGGGAAUGCAUCAGCGCGUCGCAGGCCGAGCAGCUAUUGAAAAAACAAACGCGUGGCCCGUUGCGUGGUCCGGCACGACCUUGAGAGCUUCCCGAAAAGGGACAUUCAGGUGUCCUUCACGGGAGGAAAAAAUAAUAAUAAGGUUUGUUUGUGCUCUGCUGGGAAACGGGGCGCGAGCGGAACUGUUCUUCCGGGGGGGUUUCUCCCCAAAAGACCCCGGGCGCUGCGCAGGGACGCGGCCCGGCCUGCGGGUCCCAAUGUCACCCGGGGCGUUGUGCCCGUGUGGGUCCGGGGAGCCAUCCCUGUCCCUGUCCCCGUCCCCAUCGCCGUCCCUGUCCCCGUCCCCAUCCCUGUCCCCAUCCCAUCCCCGUCCCCAUCCCUGUCCCCAUCCCA